This 1352-nucleotide ribosomal RNA is filed under the name uncultured bacterium. RNAcentral describes it as "bacterial SSU rRNA". It matches the Rfam family "Bacterial small subunit ribosomal RNA", at positions 28 to 1381 of the family's 1533-position model. The record is from RNAcentral.
AUUGAACGCUGGCGGCAUGCUUUACACAUGCAAGUCGAACGGUAACAGGGAGCUUGCUCCGCUGACGAGUGGCGAACGGGUGAGUAAUAUAUCGGAACGUACCCAAGAGUGGGGGAUAACGUAGCGAAAGUUACGCUAAUACCGCAUACGAUCUAUGGAUGAAAGCAGGGGACCUUCGGGCCUUGUGCUCCUGGAGCGGCCGAUAUCUGAUUAGCUAGUUGGUGAGGUAAAGGCUCACCAAGGCGACGAUCAGUAGCUGGUCUGAGAGGACGACCAGCCACACUGGAACUGAGACACGGUCCAGACUCCUACGGGAGGCAGCAGUGGGGAAUUUUGGACAAUGGGCGCAAGCCUGAUCCAGCAAUGCCGCGUGAGUGAAGAAGGCCUUCGGGUUGUAAAGCUCUUUUGUCAGGGAAGAAACGGCUGUGGCUAAUAUCCACGGCUAAUGACGGUACCUGAAGAAUAAGCACCGGCUAACUACGUGCCAGCAGCCGCGGUAAUACGUAGGGUGCAAGCGUUAAUCGGAAUUACUGGGCGUAAAGCGUGCGCAGGCGGUUUUGUAAGUCUGUCGUGAAAUCCCCGGGCUCAACCUGGGAAUUGCGAUGGAGACUGCAAGGCUAGAAUCUGGCAGAGGGGGGUAGAAUUCCACGUGUAGCAGUGAAAUGCGUAGAGAUGUGGAGGAACACCGAUGGCGAAGGCAGCCCCCUGGGUCAAGAUUGACGCUCAUGCACGAAAGCGUGGGGAGCAAACAGGAUUAGAUACCCUGGUAGUCCACGCCCUAAACGAUGUCUACUAGUUGUCGGGUUUUAAUUAACUUGGUAACGCAGCUAACGCGUGGAGUAGACCGCCUGGGGAGUACGGUCGCAAGAUUAAAACUCAAAGGAAUUGACGGGGACCCGCACAAGCGGUGGAUGAUGUGGAUUAAUUCGAUGCAACGCGAAAAACCUUACCUACCCUUGACAUGUCAGGAGGACCGGAGAGAUCUGGUUGUGCCCGAAAGGGAACCUGAACACAGGUGCUGCAUGGCUGUCGUCAGCUCGUGUCGUGAGAUGUUGGGUUAAGUCCCGCAACGAGCGCAACCCUUGUCAUUAGUUGCUACGCAAGAGCACUCUAAUGAGACUGCCGGUGACAAACCGGAGGAAGGUGGGGAUGACGUCAAGUCCUCAUGGCCCUUAUGGGUAGGGCUUCACACGUCAUACAAUGGUACAUACAGAGGGCCGCCAACCCGCGAGGGGGAGCUAAUCCCAGAAAGUGUAUCGUAGUCCGGAUCGUAGUCUGCAACUCGACUACGUGAAGUUGGAAUCGCUAGUAAUCGCGGAUCAGCAUGCCGCGGUGAAUAAGUUCCCGGGUCU